This 17902-nucleotide long non-coding RNA is filed under the name Triticum aestivum (bread wheat). Its description in RNAcentral is "long non-coding RNA (TAES_LNC020725)". The record is from RNAcentral. Lineage: Eukaryota; Viridiplantae; Streptophyta; Magnoliopsida; Poales; Poaceae.
GAUGGCUAGGUAGUACCUCGGAAUGACACCUUUCGGUAUUUGGGGUCAAUGUUGCAGGAGGAUGGGGGUAUUGAUAAAGAUGUGAACCAUCGAAUCAAAGCCAGAUGGAUGAAGUGGCGCCAAGCUUCUGGCAUUCUCUAUGACAAGAGAGUGCCACAAAGGCUAAAAGGAAAGUUCUACAGGACGGCGGUUCGACCCGCAAUGUUGUAUGGCGUUGAGUGUUGGCCGGCUAAAAGGAGACAUGUUCAACAGUUAGGUGUGGCGGAGAUGCGUAUGUUGAGAUGGAUAUGUGGCCACACGAGGAAGGAUCGAGUCCGGAAUGAUGAUAUAUGAGAUAGAGUUGGGGUAGCACCAAUUGAAGAGAAGCUUGUCCAACAUCGUCUGAGAUGGUUUGGGCAUAUUCAGCGCAGGCCUCCAGAAGCUCAAGUCUAUAGCAGAUGGCUAAAGCGUGCGGAGAAUGUCAAGAGAGGGCGGGGUAGACUGAAUUUAACAUGGGAGGAAUCCGUUAAGAGAGACCUGGAGGAUUGGAGUAUCACCAAAGAGCUAGCUAUGGACAGGGGUGUGUGGAAGCUUGCUAUCCAUGUGCCAGAGCCAUGAGCUGGUUGCGAGAUUUUAUGGGUUUCACCUCUAGCCUAUCCCAACUUGUUUGGGACUAAAGGCUUUGUUGCUGUUGUUGUUGUUCCGCGACAGGCAUGGCAGUGCCUCUUGGAAAUGAAAAAAAAACUUUGUCCUUCUGCGAGAAACAUGGUUUCCCUUCCGCGGGCCGUGCCUCUCGGAAACAGAAAAAUGCGUUUUUCUACUUUUUGUCUUCCACGAGAUGCAUGGUUUUUUCGUCCGAUUUUUCUCAAGAAUUUUUUCUGUUAAAACCUAUCAACGUGGGAUCUAAUUUUUAAAGAUCUUGACGCGAGAAAUCCAACGAUGAAAAUGGUUCGAGAUUUGCACGCAUAGUUUAAAAGAUAAAACGUUUUGAAUAAACAGAUAUACGAAAAAGAGAAAACUCACUGGUUGCGACAAGUGACGCACGUGGGGCGGAGUGGCCUUUAGAAUGAGUACUCCUUAGUUAGUGCCAAAAUCAGCACUGCAUUGCACCUAUGUCUCACUUGUAGCGAAAUGUAGGGCAGACUCGCCCGGGCGAGCGCGGGACUGGGCAGGCCCAACGCACGGGUGGCCGAAGCCAAUUUUUUUUCCUUUUUUCACAUUUUAUGUUCCCCUUUUUGCUUUCUUUUAUUAAUAUUUAUAUACCUCAUAUAUUGUAAAUAUAUCAAAAUUAAUAUAAAGUUGUUAAAAAUGUUAAAUGUGAAUGAAAAAAAUGUUUCUCAUGUAUGUCAAAAUGUAUACAAACAAUAUACAAUGUGUGUCAAAAAGUAGAUUAUGUAUUUAAAAAAUGUUAAUUAAGCAUUCGUGAAAUGUUAAUCAUCAACAACAACAACAACAACAACAAUAACAAAGCCUUUAGUCCCAAACAAGUUGGGGUAGGCUAGAGGUGAAACCCAUAAGAUCUCGCAACCAACCCAUGGCUCUGGCACAUGGAUAGCAAGCUUCCACGCACCCCUAUCCAUAGCUAGCUCUUUGGUGAUACUCCAAUCCUUCAGGUCUCUCUUAACGGACUCCUCCCAUGUCAAAUUCGGUCUACCCCGCCCUCUCUUGACAUUCUCCGCACGCUUUAGCCGUCCACUAUGCACCGGAGCUUCUGGAGGCCUGUGCUGAAUAUGCCCAAACCAUCUCAGACGAUGUUGGACAAGCUUCUCUUCAAUUGGUGCUACCCCAACUCUAUCUCGUAUAUCAUCAUUCCUGACUCGAUCCUUCCUCGUGUGGCCACACAUCCAUCUCAAUAUACGCAUCUCCGCCACACCUAACCGUUGAACAUGUCGCCUUUUAGUCGGCCAACACUCAGCGCCAUACAACAUUGCGGGUCGAACCGCCGUCCUGUAGAACUUGCCUUUUAGCUUUUGUGGCACUCUCUUGUCAUAGAGAAUGCCAGAAGCUUGGCGCCACUUCAUCCAUCCGGCUUUGAUUCGAUGGUUCACAUCUUCAUCAAUACCCACAUCCUCCUGCAGCAUUGCCCUCAAAUACCGAAAGGUGUCCUUCUGAGGUACCACCUGGCCAUCAAGGCUAACCUCCUCCUCACACCUAGUAGUACUGAAACCGCACAUCAUAUACUCGGUUUUAGUUCUACUAAGCCUAAACCCUUUCGAUUCCAAGGUUUGUCUCCAUAACUCUAACUUCCUAUUUACCCCCGUCCGACUAUCGUCAACUAGCACCACAUCAUCCGCAAAGAGCACACACCAUGGGAUAUCUCCUUGUAUAUCCCUUGUGACCUCAUCCAUCACCAAUGCAAAAAGAUAAGGGCUCAAAGCUGACCCCUGAUGCAGUCCUAUCUUAAUCGGGAAGUCAUCAGUGUCGAGAUCACUUGUUCGAACACUUGUCACAAUAUUAUCGUACAUGUCCUUGAUGAGGGUAAUGUACUUUGCUGGGACUUUGUGUUUCUCCAAGGCCCACCACAUGACAUUCUGCGGUAUCUUAUCAUAGGCCUUCUCCAAGUCAAUGAACACCAUAUGCAAGUCCUUCUUUUGCUCCCUAUAUCUCUCCAUAAGUUGUCGUACCAAGAAAAUGGCUUCCAUGGUCGACCUCCCAGGCAUGAAACCAAACUGAUUUUUGGUCACGCUUGUCAUUCUUCUUAAGCAGUGCUCAAUGACUCUCUCCCAUAGCUUCAUUGUAUGGCUCAUCAACUUAAUUCCGUGGUAAUUAGUACAACUCUGAACAUCCCCCUUGUUCUUGAAGAUUGGUACUAAUAUACUCCGUCUCCAUUCUUCUGGCAUCUUGUUUGCCCGAAAAAUGAGGUUGAAAAGCUUGGUUAGCCAUACUAUCGCUAUGUCCCCGAGACCUUUCCACACCUCAAUGGGGAUACAAUCAGGGCCCAUCGCCUUGCCUCCUUUCAUCCUUUUCAAAGCCUCCUUGACCUCAGACUCCUGGAUUCGCCGCACAAAACGCAUGCUAGUCUCAUCAAAGGAGUCAUCCAGUUUAAUGGUAGAACUCUCAUUCUCCCCAUUGAACAGCUUGUCGAAGUACUCCCGCCAUCUAUGCUUAAUCUCCUCGUCCUUCACCAAGAGUUGGCCUGCUCCGUCCUUGAUGCAUUUGACUUGGCCAAUAUCCCUUGUCUUCCUCUCUCGGAUCUUGGCCAUCUUAUAGAUGUCCCUGUCACCUUCCUUCGUGCCUAACCGUUGGUAGAGGUCCUCAUAUGCCCGACCCCUUGCUUCACCAACAGCUCGCUUUGCGGUCUUCUUCGCCAUCUUGUACUUCUCUAUGGUGUCUGCACUCCUAUCCAGGUAUAGGCAUUUGAAGCAAUCUUUCUUCUAUUUAAUCGCCUUCUGGACAUCAUCAUUCCACCACCAGGUAUCCUUAUCUUCGUUUCUCCUUCCCCUGGACACUCCAAGCUCCUGCGAGGCCACCUUACGAAUGCAAGUCGCCAUCUUCGUCCACAGAUUGUUUGCAUCUCCUCCUUCCUCCCAGGGGCCCUCCUUAAUGACCCUCUCCUUGAACGCUAGAGCUACCUCCCCCUUGAGCUUCCACCACUUCGUUCUAGCGACUUUGGCACGCUUAUCCCGCUGUACACGAAUCCGAAAGCGGAAGUCAGCAACCACCAGCUUAUGCUGGGGUACAACACUCUCUCCAGGUAUCACCUUACAGUCUAGGCACGCACGCCGAUCUUCUCUUCUCGAGAGGAUGAAAUCAAUCUGACUAGAGUGUUGGCCACUACUAAAAGUCACCGGAUGUGAUUCUCUCUUUCUAAAGAGGGUGUUAGCUACAAUCAUGUUGUAGGCUAGAGCAAAGCUUAAGACAUCUUCUCCUUCUUGAUUCCUGAUGCCAUAGCCAAAGCCCCCGUGCGCCCCUUCAAAACCUGUGAUAGAUGUACCCACGUGGCCAUUGAGGUCUCCUCCUAUGAAGAGCUUCUCACCAAUCGGUACACUCCUAACCAUGUCCUCCAGGCCUUCCCAGAACUCCCUCUUGGUGUUCUCAUUAUGGCCUACUUGCGGGGCAUACACGCUGAUAACAUUGAGAACCAAGUCCUCAACUAUCAGCUUGACCAGGAUAAUCCGGUCCCCACGUCUCUUGACGUCUACCACUCCAUACUUGAGGCUCUUGUUGAUCAAGAUGCCACGCCAUUUCUAUUUGGAGCCGUCCCUGUGUACCACAGCUUGAAGCCGGUAUCCUCCACCUCCUUCGCCUUCUAUCCUCUCCAUUUGGUUUCUUGGACGCAAAGGAUAUCAACACCUCUCCUCACCGCUGCAUCAACUAGCUCUCGAAGCUUCCCUGUCAGAGACCCUACGUUCCAGCUACCUAAACGAAUCCUCCUAGACUCGGCUAGCUUCCUUACCCUUCGCACUCGUCGAGUCAAAUGCGAAGACCCUUGCCCAUUUUCCACUACAUCCGGGCGCCGAUGUAGCGCGCCACUAAGGAUGCGACGACCCGAUCCUCGCUCACUUGCCACCGUAUCCGGAUCAAGAUACAGCGCGCCACCUUGGGAGUGACGGCUCGGCCCUUGCCCAUUUUCCACCACACCCGGGUUCCGAUGUAGCGUGUCGCUGAGAGGGUUACGCCCCAACGAAAAUCUUUUGGGUUUCAUCUCCAUAAGAGUGGCUGAGUUUUUACGUUGGCUCGUCAAGCCUAUCACAACCCUUCUCCUUUACCCGGACUUGGGACCGGCUAUGUUGAGACAACAUAGGCGGAGUUUCUCAUGUGAAAUGUUAAUCAAGUAUUUGAAAAAUGUUAAAUGGGUACAGAAAGAUGUUUCUCAUGUAUACGAAAAAUAUAUGAAACAUGUAUACAAAAAUAUACAAUGUGUAUGAAAAAAUGUUGUUUAUGUAUUUUGGGAAAAUAUUAAAUGUAUAAACCAAACUUCCUGAUUUAUAUGUAAAAUAUACAGCAUACAUUAAAUAAAGGUAGACAUAAAAAAUCCUACCUUUAAAAAAUCAAUUAUAUAUUAAAAAAUGUUAAGAGUGCAUAAAAAUAAGUUUCUAUGGUAUACGACAAAUGUACAGCGUACAUUUCAUAAAGGUAGACAUCCAAAAGCAUAUACUCCGUAUUUAGAUUGUAUUAAAACAUGUAGAUGAAAAAUGUACAUAGUGUGCGAAAACAUGCUUAGUGCCAUUAAUAAAAUUUUCACCAUAUAUUUGAUAAAAUGUUGAUCAUCUAUUAGAAAAGUGUUUUAAAACUUGUAUUUAAGAAAAAAAGUGUUCAGCGUGCUUCUACAAAAAUGUUUCGUGUACACUAAAAAUGUACAUUGUGUACUAAAAUAUAAGCAUGUGGGGAACAAAAAAGUAACAAAAUAUAUCUGAAAAAAAAAACAAAGACAAACAAAAGAUGAAAAAUGAAUUUUAAAAACCAAAAAAUAAAAGAUAAAUAGAAACAAUGAAAACCGAUGCAAAAGAAUGGAACUGUGAAGACCGAAGAGGAAAUAAAGAAAAUGAGAAAGAAACAAAGAAAAUAAAGUAUAUCAAAGAGAGAAAGAAACCACAGAAGGCUGGUGAAAGAAACAAAAGAAAGAAAAAGUAUAACGAAGAAAAAACCAAAGAAACUGGUGAAUAACAUGAAAAAGGAAAUAAAAGGAAAGGAAGAAAGAAAGAAAAAUGAAAAAACCGGAGCGAACCAGCGAAGAGAUCGUGUGCGAGCGAACAUGAAUGCGUGAAUAUGAACUGGCCCAGUACUGUAGUCUGCACUUCUUCAAGCGAGAUAUAGUUCUCGUGCCAUGAACAACGUUCACCAGACAUACACCUCAUGGUCCUCUAUCCCGCUCUUGCACCACUCUCUUAUCCAUCAAUCAAUUCCAAAAGGGUUGAAUGGUGGGCACCAAGCAGAUGCCGGGUAAAAUUGACGACAUGGAAAAAAUUCAGGUUUAUGUACAACAUGUUCUUUCCUUCCUUCAUUCGGUGACGCAUAGAGGUGGCACAGUCUUGUUCCUGGAGCCGCUCACAACUUUUGGGAGCACCGAGAUCCUGAAUAAUAUGUUAGAGGCCAGUCCGCGUCAAGAAUAGCUCACACCAUGACACGGAACAUGACAUGCUUUACGUUGCCACUAUUUUUACUUUUCCACUGUUUCUGUAUAAGAGAAAAAGGUUGACCCUGUGCAAAAGAAAAAAUGUUUUGUGUUUUAAAUACAUGAUGAAAUGCAUGGUACUCAACAGAUGACGUGAAGUAUAUGAUUGGAUUAGGCCAACUCCAACCGUCGAUCCCAAACAGUGCGCCCAACCGGCCUGCCCAUCCCAAACUUUUCAUUUUUUUUUUACUUGCAAAUUUGACGCAAAACAAACUCAAACAAACAUUGCACAUAAUUUAAAAACAUUAAUAUAAACAUAAACGUUCACAAAUGUCCAGUCCACCACACUCUUAACAAAACAUAAAAUUUAAAUGAAAAUAAAAAAGCUAGAUAAGCCCGUCGCCCCCACGGCCGCUGUCGUGUUCAGUUGCCGCCGCCAUCGUCCUCGUCGCCAAUGAGGUCGAUGUAGGACGACGGCGUUCCAAGGUGGGCAGGCGGCCCCUACCAAGCGUGAGGCGACUACGGAUGCACGACCUCUAGCCGUGGCGGAGACGGUGACCUCCACCACCUCCUCCAUGGCCUCCACCACCACAUCCUCCAUGGCCUCCUCCUUGACUACAGCGUCGAGCUCUGGGAUGCGACGUCGCCGGUCGCGGAGAGGGUUGUCAUUUCUUCGAGGCCCUGCCACCGGGCCUCGUCGUGGGUGUGGACGGAGUCCUCCAGCACCCGCCUAACUAGCUCUUCCUCCUCCUCGGCGAUCAUCAGAGCGGGUGGUGGCGGGGGAUAACGACGGGGAAGGCGGGGGAUAACGACGGGGAAGGCGGGGGUGUCAUACCACGAACUAGCCUACACCCGCGUGGCUGGGGUGGGCUGGGAGCGGGCAGUGGGCUCGGAGCACGAGCAUAAAAGAAAAAAUUGCCAGCGAAGGUCAUGCUCGUCGCGAAGCCAUGUAUCCCACAACGGGGAAUCCACGACGUACCUCUCGUUGUGGACGAGGUCUAAGGGCAGGCGGGAGUGGCGACGGUCGAUCUCCUCGUGGCAGGUGCAGCCGCUCACCGGGACCACUGGAAUGGGCACCCGAUCCGCGGAGAGGUGCAAGUUAUUGGGGAGGUUCACGUCUCUCCACGGCAACAGUGUGUCGUCUCCCAAUACCACUUGCAUAUCUCCGCCUUAACGUAUGACCGCAUACGAGGUGCGGUCGCCAGCGGCGUAAUGUGGAAUGCGCGAGGUGGAGGUAGUGGAAGAGGAGGAGGGGUGGAGCGGCAACGACGGCUGGAGGACGGCCCAGCCUCAUGGUCAUGCCUUCCCCUGCGGCCGGGGAUCCACUCCCACAUCAUUGCCGUCGGCGAGGGAGGUGCAGGAGAGGAGGUGGAAGAGCGUCGAGCUAGGGUUUGGGUGUCGGGGCACAAGGAGGCACGCGUCGAUGAAAGUGGAAGCCUUUGGACUGGCCGGUCCACGGCUUCCGCAUUAAAAAGGACGGCUACCGGGUGGAUGGGUGGCUGGCAAGGGGUCCGUCCACUCAUACGCAGUUAAUUUGGGUGGUGGGAGGUAGGUGGGUGGCCGACAGGCAGGCCCAAGGUGGCAAGGAGCGGGUGCGUGGGCGCCCGUUCCCUGUCCGCCUGGACACAAGCCGGGCCCAUGUUGUGCGCCGAAAAUAGGUUGAGUCGGACGUCAAACCGACGUUUUUGCUGAUGGGGUCACGCGUUUGGUUGUCGCUUCUGUGCGUGGGCUAAAACGCACACGGACGGACAUGAUGGGUCUAGCGUAGGAGUUGGACUUACUAUGUAAACCUUAGCCGGGGCCAAAAGUAAUCAAAGCUACGCGCGCUGUGUGUAGCGCUAUCUAUCGCAAACGUCUGAUUCAGGCAUUAAUAUAAAUACGCACACCGUAAAUGUUGGCUUGGUGAGGGGAGGGGACUUGAAAACGAUGGAGAGGGGAUGCCCCCUCCCUUCGUAGGUCGUCAAUCCACUGUCUAGGCCAAGAUGCCUCCUCUGCAUAUAUUUUUUUUCUUCUUCGAUUGAGCCGCAGGGUAAAAAGUAAGCGCACAAAAAUAAAUUAUUGUUUUCUUUAUAAGCAACGCUCCGAGCAGGUCGAUUGUGACUACAUAGUGCAUGUUGCGUUGGGCCUCUUCUGGGCCUCAAAAUACCAACUAAAUAAAUUGGCGAUUUCUAUUAACAUUAAAUAUUACCACAUCACCCACUUAGAACAACCACGUCCAAUUUAUAUGCAUCUUCAAGUUACCUAUUAUUGAUAUACUCAAUAAGUCAUCAUAAACAGUACCACCUCGCCUCUUAUAACCAAGACAGCCAAUUUAUAUAUGUCAACAGAUGGAAUAACUGGACGCAUGAGAUGGGUAACAAUGUCUCCCGUUGCAACGCAUAGACAUUUAUAUAUUUUAUGAACUACUAGCAAAAGGGCCUAUACGUUGCAACAGAAGAAAAAAUAUCAUAAUCUCCAAUGGCCAUGACAACAUUUUGCUGCAUCACCGAGAUACACUAUCACUCUCAAUUUCAUGAAAUCAUUAACAAUUUUCGAAGUCAUGAACACAUUUUAAACUCAUGCACAUAUUCGAAAUUGUGAACACUUUUACAAAUUUUUGAAUAUUCUCUGAAAUCAUGAACAUUUUUGAAUUUCUGAACAUUCUAACUGUUUGCAAACAUUAUUUUAAAAUUGUAAACAUUUUGAAAACAAUUUUCUUGGAUCGCCGAACAUUUCUAGAAUCGACAAACAUUUUUUUGAAAUUGGUGGAACAAUUUUUGAAAUUUACUUACAUUGUUUUUAUUUUACGAACAUUUUUUUAUUUGACGAACUUUUUCUGAAACGCAUGAUAAUUUUUUGAAUCAAUGAACAUUUUAUGAAUUAAUAAACUAUUCUAUAGGUCACGAUUGUUUUUUUGGAGCAGUUUCUGAAUUUUUAGGAUAUUUUUAUAACAUUUUACGAAUUUCCAAAAAAACAAUUGUUCAAUUUCAUUAACAUUUUUAAUUCACAGACAUUUUUAAAAAUCAUGAACAUUUUUUUAUUUCCUGAACGUUUGUUUUCGAAAUGUCGAACUUUUUUUGAAUAAGCAAACAUUUUGUUUACAAAAUCGCUAACAUUUUUUUAAUCCACAAACAUUUUAUAAUUUAGUAAAUAUUUUAUUUAAAAAUUCAACUUUUUUACAAAAUUGCGAACUUUUUGAAGUCCCAAAUUAUUUAAAGUAUAAAAAUAAAAUAAAAAUAAAAAUAAAAAAGGGAAUGUAAAUAACAGCCGCCUGGAUAUUGGCCGGGCCAAACGGGCGCGCUGAGUCUUCUCUCAACGCGCAGACCAGAGUAUAGGAUGUCCCUACUGUAUGGGCCGGCCCAGACGGGGAUUCCCCUGUAUGAAAUGUUUUUAAUCACUUAUAGGUAAUGUUUGUGGUGGAUCUCAAAAAAAAAAGGUAAUGUUUGUGGUAAUAUAUUACAACUUUAGGGGCAAUUUCCGUGUCGUACCGCCAGAAACAAUAGCCCCGAUAUUAUUAGAUAUAAAUAUAUAGAUAUCUAGAAUACAAGUGAACUAAAAGAAACAAAAGAAAAGCCAGAAAACCAGGAGAGGUCCAAAUCAGCGCCUUCAACGCUAGUUGGCCGAGUUGCGCUCCCAUGCAGGCGUAGCAGGCUGCGGCCCAACUUGAUACUUCCCUCGGAUGCACUCGCUUGCCACGCUUACGAUUUAGUUGCUGGUUUCUAGAAAAAAAACCGACCAUCUUGUUUUCUAUGUAUUAAACAGAUUCAUAAAAUCAUUUUUUUCCAUAGAUUUAAAGAAAGUUCACAAAUUUAAAAUAUUUUCAUGAAUUUGAUUUUUUGUGACUAUAAAAUUAUUCCUUUGUGAAUUUGAAAAUUUUCACGGGUUUGAAAAAAGUUCAUGGGUUUGAAAAAAGUUCAUGGGUUUGAAAAAGUUUUAUGAAUUUGAUAUUCAUUGGUUUGCAAAAAAGUUCAACAAUUUGAAGAAUAACAAAAUUGGUAAAACAAAGAAGGAACGGAGAAAAAUCAAAAAUUAAAAAUAUAAAAAGAUAAAAAAAGGAAGGCCAAACUGAGAACAUCUAAAAGCUUCCAAAAUCAUUAUGCACCACCUCCCGCAAAACCGGCAUGCGUAAUAGCCCCUAUAGGGCGCUGCUGAACUCAAUUGGCGCCCACUGCAGCGCCCUGGCGGGCCGGCCGAGUACCGCGCUGCGCCAGUGAAAAAUAGAGUAACAAAAAUUGCUGCAUCAAGGAUUAGAAUUCGCGUCGUGGCAUUGCCGCACGAGCAGGCUAACCAGUAGAGCUACGAGGUAGACCAAACCUACAGUGCUGCAGAAUGCAAAAGAAACAAUUGAUGCCGCACUACUCUAGAAAAAGAAAAGCUCAUAAACAAUAAGAAAGAAGUUCACGAGUUUGUUAAAAAAAUAAAAGGUUCACGUAAACAAAAAAGUUCACGUAAAAACUGAAAAACAUUCACUCAUUUGAGGAAAAGUUCACAGAGUUGAAAGUUCAUGGAAUUUUAAAAAGGUCACCGAUUUAAGAAAAGGUCACGGAUUUGAAAAAGUUCAUGAAAUACAAAAUAGUUCAAGGAAAUUGAAAAGAGUUCAUCGAAUUUUAAAAAAGUUAACCGAAUUUGAAAAAUAAUGUCAUUGAAUUUGAAAAGGUUCAUCGAAGCUUUUUUUAAAAUGUUCAUUGAAUUUGAAAAAAGUUCAUCGAUUUUUUUAAAAUCAUAAAAUCUAAAAAAAGUUCGUCUAUUUUAAGAAAAACUUCAUCGAAUACUAAAAAAGUUCAUCAAAUUUGAACAAAAACUAAGAAAUUUAAAAAGAAAAUAAUAAAAAUAAAACCGCACCUAAACCAAAUCGCAAACCGGGAAAAACUAGUGUGGGAAGCUUCUAGAAGCUUCCCAAAUCCGGGGCUUUCGCAAACGUGACGAACGUCACUAAAAGGAGAAAAAGGACACAUCUAUAGACUCGCGGUGGCGUGGCCUUGUGGUUUGAGCGAUCGCCUCGCAACCAACCGUUCGCUAGUUCGAACCCUGGUUCCAUUAACUUUUUGUGUUCUGAAAACAUAGAGAAAAAUACCUCAGGCAUCCCCUACAUGGGCCGGCCCAGCACGGGGCGCUGCAGGCGCCGGUUUGCUAAAAUGCACACAAAUGGGCGCUUGCAGCGCUAAAUAGGAAAUGCCUGUGCACUAUAUAUAGUAGACACGAUGCGAAAAGCGAAGAAAAAAAUUAAAUGAUCCAAGCCUAGGACAAGGUGGGGCAGGGGAUGUAGCCUUGUAGGCCAACAAAUGGUAAUAAUGGGCGCGUAAGGCCCUACAUAGAAAGUGGUCAUUUCUAGUACCAUAAUAACUUGUGUGCUAUGUAUUGCCUGGACAAUAGAGCCAAAAAUAUAAAAGACACCGCACCACAAACAAUGCUCACCACACAGACACCAUGCUAGAGCCCAGUCACCAAGCCGUACCCGUCAACUAUAAGUCGUAUGUGGUGAUUUUGUCAAUCUCAAAAUAUUGUUCCAUAUCAGUAUCUCAAACAUGGUCAUAGGGUGUUCGUGUGUGCAGUCACAAGGACAAGUGUAUUUGAUUUCAAAAUUCUCAAUUUUUUAAAAAAUUGAAACUUUUGAAGUCCCAAAUUAUUUAAAGUACAAAAAUGGAAAGUAAAAGAAAAAUAAAAACUAAAAAUAAAGAAAAAAAUUUAAAAUAACAGGCCGCCCGGACAUUGCCGGGCCAAACGGGUGUGCUGCGUUUCCUCUCAACGUGCGGAGCUUAGGCCGGCCAAUGAAAAUUUAAAAAACAUUUCAUACCAGGGAAUCCCUACUGCUUGGGCCGGCCCAGGCAGGGAUUCCCCUGUAUGAAACGUUUUUUUAUCACUUAUAGGUGACGUUGGUAGGUAAUAUUUUGCAACUUUAGGGUCAAUUUUCGUGUCGUACCGUCAGAAACAAAAGCCCAUUAUUACUAGGUAUAGAUUUAAAGAUAGUUCACAAUUUUUUUCAUGAAUUUCAUUUUUUUUCACGACCAUAAAAUUGUUCGACUGUGAUUUUGAAUAAUUUCACGGGACAUAAAAAAGUUCUUGGAUUUGAUAUAAGUUCACGUACUUCAAAAAAGUUCAUCGCGUUUGAAAAAAAGUUUAAAAUUUUGAAAAAUGACAAAAUUGAUAAAACAAAGAAGGAAAGGAGGAAAAAAAACAAAAAGUAAAAAUAUAAAAGGAUAAAUAAGGGGAAAUAAGGCCAAACUAACAAGCAUCUAGAGGCUUCUAGAAUCAUUUAUGGGCUAGCGCUCGCGAAACCAGCAUGCGCACUAUGUAGAGUAGACAUGUUGCGAACGCAAAGGAAAAAAAAUGGACCAAGCCCAGGACGGGGGGUGUAGCCUUGUAGGCCAACAAAUAGUAAUAAUUGGCGCGUAAAUCGAUACAUAGAAAAUGGACGUUUUCAGUACCGUAAUAACUUGUGUGCUAUAUAUUGCCUAGAAAAUAGAGGCAAAAAUAAAAACGACACCCCACCACAAACGACGUCCACCGCACAUACACCAUGCUACAGCCCAGUCGCCAAGAUCGUGUCGUACCGGUUAACUACGAGGCGUCUGUGGUGAUUUCAUCAAUUUUAAAAUAUUGUUCUGUAUCAAUAUCUCAGACAUGAUCAUAGAGUGUUCGUGGAUGCGUUCAUAAGGACAAGUGUAUGUGGGUAGUUGCGAUUGUACCAUGUUAGAAAAAAGUUAACGCCAAAACCAUGCCAGACAGGACCUGCUUUACUAUGCCGCUAUUUUUCCUUUUGCAUUGUUUCCCUGGAAAAAAAGAUGUAAUAAAAUGCAUGCUGCUCAGUGAAGUAUAUUAUCGAUUAAUGAGUAAACCGAUCCAGGGCCAAAAGUAAUCAAAGAUACGUGUGCCACGUGUAGAGCUAUCCAUAGCAAACAUGUUAGGCUAGUCAUGGUGGGAGUAACUUAGGUAGUAACAUAAUACACUUCAAAUUUUUUUUGCUUAUGUGGCAUGUAGUUAAUGAGUAGAGAGGUAUUUAGAGUAACAUAAUAUGUUACUGUAACAUAGCGCUUCCCGAGAAAGGAUGAGUCUACAAGCUAAUAAAUAAACACAUCUAUGACACUACUAUUAUGUUACUUUGCACUAUGGAGAUAGUAACUUAGACUAGUGUCAUGCAUAUGACACUAGUCUAAGUUACUCCCCACUAUGACCAGCCUUAUUAAGGCAUUAAUAUGAUGUACAGACUCCAAAUUGUUAAGCUGGUCAUAGUGGGGCUAACUUAGGUAGUAACCUAACACACCCCAAGGCAAUUUUACUUAUGUGACAAGUAUUUAAUGAGGAAAGAGGUGUUUGGAGUAACAUAAUAUGUUACUGUAACAUAGCGCUUUCCGAGGUAAAAUAUGUCUAUAGGCUAAUAAAUGAAGUUAUCUAUGACACCACUCCUACUCGCUCCUUCCAUCUAUAUAGGGCCUAAUGCAUUUUUCGAGGUUAACUUUGACCAAAUAUUAAAACAAUAAUAUAUGACAUGCAACUUACACAAAGCACAUCGUUAAAUUCGUGUGUGAAAGGAGCUUUCAAUGGUAUAAUUUUCACAUUGUGCAUGUCAUGUACUAUUAAUCUUGCUAAUAGUCAAAGACGGUCUUAAAAAAUAUAUUAUGCCCUAUAUAGAUGGAAGGAGGGAGUAUAAUACUUUGCACUAUGAAGGUAGUAACUUAGACUAGUGUCAUAUGCAUGACACUAGUAUAAGUUACUCCCCACUAUGACCAGCCUUAGAAAGGAUAGAGAGAGAUUGAUGGAAUCGUUGUUUAUUGGUUGAGUCUCGUGAGCAUAUAUAUAGAAGUACAUGAUCAACUUGGAGUACAAGGCAAGCUAGAACAAAUCCUAAUAUAUUUCGUAUUCCUAACUAACCAUAAUACUCAACAUCCCCCGUGGUCACAACGGUAGUGACGCAGGCGAUGAGACUGGAGAAGAAUCCGAAGGUAAGCUGACGGACAUCCCCCACAGUCGUAGCGGUCGAUGCAUCGCGAAAAUUAUGGUUGGAGUGGAAAUCGACGAGGUUGCUCAAAUAAGAUGGUAGCCCUUUGUGCCGACGUCAAUGUAGCCGAGAGCGUAGGGUGGUGUAGCCGUGGUCGAGGUUGCCAUGCAAAGAAUAUCGUGGUCGAUGUCGAGUCGGGGUAGCUGGUGUCAAGAAAGUUGCCAUGGAGCCGCGGGCGCAAGGAGGCGCCGAGUUAGUCAUGGGUGCAGUGGUGUCGAAGUACUGGUGCGCCGGAAGAAGACGUUGUUGACGAGGCGUCGCGCCGGCUUUGCCAAACCCGGGGACACAUCAUAGACGAAGGCACGCGUCGGUGUUGACAGCACCAGGCAUGCUUAGACGGACGAAAACGAAGUUGAAAAAAUGCCGUACCAGGCAUGCCAGGCUCGGGGACACGUCACGGACGAAGGCACACAUCGAUGGUGCUAGCACCGAGCAUGCGUAGACGAGGGACCUGUACGAGUUGUACGCCAUGUCGAGGAGUCGACGGGGCUAGCAGAGAAGGAGACUUGAUAUGUUUGUGGCGCCAAUCGGCAUGGGAACGAUGUCACCAACGGUGGUCCGAGUGGACGAAGUGGUGGGGGAAGAUGACGGUGACACUCGCGGCGAGCUGUUGCUGGACGAAGACGAAGGGGGUGGACGGGCGGCAGCGGCUACAGGACUAGCGGCGGCGGCGGUGCUCAAAGUAGGCGAGGAAACCGACAAUGUGCAGAAGACCGGCUCGGACGGUGGCGUUCCCGGGCCAAGGGAGGCGGCGCGACGCAUACCACUAGAAGUCGAUGCGUGAGGACGGCGGAGUGGACUGCGGGUCGCGGUGCGACGGCCCGAAGGGGCGACACAGCGGCGGCCUGAUGGCGGCAGUGCUCGAAGUAGGCGAGGAAACCAACAACGUUAGGAAGACCGGCUUGGACGGUGGCGUUUCCGGACCAAGGGAGACGGCGCGACGCAUACCACUAGAAGUCGAUGCAUGGGGACAACAGAGCGGACCGCGGGGGCCGCGGGGCGACGGCUCGAAGGGGCGAUGUAGCGGCGGCAUGCAGGUCAGGACGACAGUGGGAAGACCUCUGGGCGGUGGUGUGAACCGUAGACCGUGGCGCUGGGGCGGCGCAGUGGCGAAGCGCGGGUCGGUGCAACCGCGGGAAGGACCUCGGGUGGCGCCGUGGAUAGCGUGUCGCAGCACUACAACCCAAAGGGGUGACGCAGCGGCGACGCGCGAGUCGGUGCAGCUGCAAGGAAAACCACGGGGCGGCAACGCUGCGGCCCGACGAGGCGACACAUAGGCAUACCGUUGCUCGAUCGAGGGUGGGGCGCGCUGAAUUCAGGGACGGUUUUCACAGGACCCGCAGAGACGCGCACAAGUAACUAGCUAGAUCGGUCGCACGGUGCGGAUGAAGCGGAGUGGCGACCAGAUAAUCAAUCUGGCCGCUCGCGAGAUUGGGGUCAUCGGUCGGUGAUGAGGCGGCCGAGCCACUGAGGGCACGCGUGGGGGACGCGCGAAUAGCCGGUGCGUGCACGCGGCCCAUGCCCGAGAGGGGUGCAAGCGGCGCCGCACAACACAGCCGGUACACGCAUCGUGUGGGGCGCGGUGCCAAGGCCAGUGGACAGAUGCAGCUGACCGGGGUGGACGUGAGGUGAUGCAGGAUCCUGAUCAGAUGAGGGCAAUGACGAUUGGCACAGAGCGACGGGCGGGCAGACGCACGAACAACGGUCGAGAUGGGCCACCGCUUCGCGUGUGGCCGCCGGGUCGAUGGGGAGGCCGAGUUGUCGCGUCGGUGUCGAAAUAGAGGCGCACUGGUGUCGAUGGCGGCGGCGGGUGAUCCAAAUUGAUCUUAGAUCGAAAAAACAAAAAGAAACACCGAUUAAGAUGACCGACAAGAAAAAAAACCUCGAUUAAGAGAUCGGAAAAAAGACUAUGUAGACAACCGAUCAACACGAGUGGGCGAUGGACGGCGGCUAGGAUUGAAUCAGUUAAGUUGAUACCAUGUUAAAAAAGAUAGCGAGGAAAUGGUAGAAUAGUUGUUUAUUGUUUGAGCAUCAUAGGCAUAUGUAGGAGUACAUGUUUAAUUUAAAGGGCAAAAUAAACGAGAACAAAUUCUAGUCUAUCUCGUAUUUUCUAAUCGAUCAUAAUACUCAACCCAAAUGUUGGCUCAAAGGGGAGGAGAGGGGACUCGAAAACGACGGCCCGGUUGUAUGUAGAGUAGUAAUGUAGUGCUACGUCUACGUGUAUCAUGUCAUAUAGCUGAGGCUGUCGUAGCUAGCGUAGUGGCGUAGCAGCAGCGAGUGACGCAAGGCAACGGCAGGAGGGCCUGGGCAAUGCUGCACGCUGCAUGCUGAUGCCGGGUAAAGGGCGAUGGACUUUGCUUUGCGUAUGAAUGAGUCGCCAGGCCAGUUUGCCUUUGCCAUCCUACGCGUAUGCAUGCAUGCAUGCAUGCGUGACGACCGACGGGAGUGGUAUGCUAUGCUAUACUGGGAGCUCCUUCUCCGUCUCUUUCGACACCCCAGCGACGUGCCGGCCCUAUUCACGGAAACUCGUCCUCAUCACGCCAUGCCAUGCCUACAUCCACUGCGCCAACUUUUUCUUUCGCCUUGCCUGUGCUGUGCACCAUGACUUCCCAUAUUUCAAAGCCAGCGUUACCAUACCACCUCCUUUUUUUUAUUUGCCGGACUUACCACUUUGCUUUGACCGGCACAUAUUUACAUACUUGUGUGUAUGAGUGUAUCACGACCAACAGUACUAAUGUUCUAGUAUAGUUUUUCUAGCAUGUCAAUGUUUUUUUUCCUUCGUUUUUUUUUCGGGGAGAUUUUUCUACGUGUGAAAGCAUCAUGACGCGUAGCAAAUAACCGUGCCUAAAAUAUCGCUUGUAUUACGACUAGUGCAGAUGAGUUCAUUGUGGAUCGUCACACGAACCGUGCUUGCUUGCCAGCGGCAUCUAGUCUUAGCUAACCUCAGAUUCUUACCGGCCAUGAGCAACAAAAAAGUAAAAAUGUGCUAAAAACUAGCCGGUACAGUGAGGUUAAAGCAUCUCACGGCAACCGCUUCAUGCAUGCAUGCUAUGCUACAUCACGCCUUUGAACCAAGCCCUCCAAAAAAAAGGCAAGUCACGUUUCAUGCGGCUCUGAUCUGCUGCUGCAUGCGUCUGGCAUCUGCGACUGCGUGCGUACGUACCGGUCCUCUACUACGGACAGUCGCGUGCAUCACCUUCUGUGGACGCAUCUUCCCACUUUCCAUCAAUUCAAAAUUCAAUUUUCCACCAACAAAAUGCUACGUACUACACCUUCAACUAUUAUACUCUUAUUAGGAUUAUUUUUCCUCUACUAGGAGUAGUACAAGUAUGCAUGCGAAUGCGAUGCAUGUACCCAUCAAAACGUCCAAUUGAGUAGUAGCAGUAUACACGAACAUUUUUCGAAAAGUAUAUACACGAACAUGGAUAGAGAUGAUAGUAUGUAUGGUUUACGGUGGACAGAUACUUGAUUUAUCUCAGGAUAAUAAUAACGCCAUGUGCAUGCUAGCUUGCUAGGCUUCAUUGCAUUGCAUUACAUUGUUGGUCUGAUCUCAUCUGAUGGCUAAGUAUCCUUCCACUCCACUCUGACUCUGUAACGAACUAGUACGUGCUAGAUAACCAUCACCUAAAAAAACAAAACACAAACACACGCAACUGACAAGGCUAAUUAAGCUUUCCUUGUUAAUUAUAUCUACAUCUCACUAGCCAGUGAAGCUCAACACACCAUGCAUUGCACGCACGCGUCCAUCCAUCGCACAGCCACAGGCACAGGCACGGCACAUGAAAAGAAAAGAAAAGAAAAGAAAAGACGACCAACACACAAAGUAAACGCCGUCGUUGAUCACCACCAUCAUCAGUUCCGGCCGGCCGGCGAGACAGCAAAGCAAUGCGGCU